This is a long non-coding RNA of Parus major (Great Tit), 2217 nucleotides long. RefSeq lists it as uncharacterized. The transcript is spliced from 2 exons. Lineage: Eukaryota; Metazoa; Chordata; Aves; Passeriformes; Paridae. The record is from RefSeq and is a predicted model, not a curated record.
GCCCUCCGGGAGCGGCCGCCGAGCCCCGGGCCACGCCGGCAUCGGGCCCGCCGUGUCGGUCAGCCGCGGCUCCGCCGGGAAUUCGCUCGGCACGCAGCGGGAUCAGCCCCGAGAUCGCCCAGGCCACGGCGGGGACCGCGCCGGAAUCGGCCGCGGUGCCACCGGGAUCCCAGCGGGAUCAGCCGCGGCACCGCCGGGACUUUCUUGGGAGCAUCCUGGGAGCGGUGCAGGGAUGGCACGGCGGAAUCAGCCUGGGUGUCACUGGGAUCCCAGCGGGAUCAGCCGCGGGACUGCCGGCAUCUCCUCCGGGUCAGCCGCAGCACCGGCAGGAUCUCCCCGGGAUCGCGCCUGGGUCACGGCCAGCACCAGCCACGGGAUCCCUCGGAUCUCCCCGGGAUCACCAGGACCGCACCAGCCUCACCCUGCGAUCGCCACUGCAGGUUCAGCCACACUAUUCCCGCGAUCUCAGUGGGAUUUCCCUGCAGGAUCUCCUUGGGAUCACUCCUGGGAUCCUCAGGAAUCACCGGGAGCAGAUGGGAGAUCACCGGGGCCGCAGCCGGAUCAGCUGCAGGCCUGCCGGGAUCACCGGGGCUACACCUGGAUCGCUCAGGGAACAGGGCAGGAUCUUCCCGGGAUCUCUCAGCAUCUCGCUGGGAUCACCCCCAGGACCACACCAGGAUCACACCCUGAGAUCACACCCGGACACCAGCACCCCUUGGCACCAAAUCCCUGGGGCAGUUCCAGGCCCCAUUUGCCCUAAAAAUCACUAAAACCCCUCUUUUUUCCUUUCACAGGUCAUUUCCCCAUCUUCUCAAUCCGUGGGAGAGCUCCUCCAUGGAAUGGUGCUGGAGCACUUCAGGAGACCCAGCUGCUUCUGGGAUGUUUGUUCACAUGGAAUCUUCCAAACCACAUUUACAGCUUCCAAGACUGAGAUUUCUGGGAUUUCCCCAGAUUUGGGAGCACGGUGUGGGCAGGAGGGACCCACAGGGAUGAAGCGGGAAGCAGAGGAGGGCUGGGUAUAAGGAAGGACAAAGAAAGGUUUGGUUCCAAUCCCCUGGAAGUGUUUUCUUGGGAAAUCCAGCCUGGCCUGAAUUCCCAGCAGCUUUUUCAGCCUCUGGAAUUGGAUGAUUUCAAGGAAAAGGUGUUUUCUGGGAUGUUCUCCAGCGCCCUUCCAGGGCCCAGGUGCUGUUAUAGGAACAGAGGGAAGCUCCAACAAAUUCCAGCAAACCGAGCACCGCGAGCACCGCGGGUUCAUUCUCUUUCCCAAUUUUCCAUGGAAAAUCUGGGAUGCCCAAAUGGGAGCUGCUCCCACCGUGGCUGGUGCUGGUUUUGGCAGCGGGAGGUUCCCCAGGACGCUGGAGCACAGGGCGUUGACUUUGGGGUUUUCAGCUUCCCAAACCAUCUGGAGGGAGCUGGAGGGGCUCAUCCUGGAGCAGAGGUGACUCAGGGGGAACCUCCUGGCUCCCUGCAAUUCCCUGGAAGAAGGUUGGAGUCAGGAGAGGUUGGGCUCUGCUGACAGGAUGACAGGGAAGGGCCUCAAGGGGAGGUUUGGGUGGGAUUUUGGGAAUAUUCCCCCUGGGAAGGGCUCUCCAGGCCUGGCCCAGCUGCCCAGGGCAGGGGUGGAGUCCCCAUUGCUGGAGGGAUUUCAGAACCCUGUGGAUGUGACACCUGGGGACACGGUCAGGGGUGGCUUUGGCAAUGCUGGGGGAUGGUGGGACUUGUUCUUGGAGGGCUUUUCCAACCAAAACCAUUCCGUGAUUCCCCAGAAAUGAAUCUUUGUUUCAUUCCCUUCUCCAGGCAGAUCCAACAGGCCAAGCCAUGACUUUGUUGCUCCGAUGGGAACAAGCCCAGGAGAGCUUCAGCUGCAGCACCAGGAAAGAGGGAAUCAGGAGCAGCCUGGCUUGUCCACAGCAACCCCUGUGCCGUGACCCUGCCUUUUCCAGAGGCUCAGGAAAACCACUGGUGCUGUUGGACCUCCCUGGCUCCCGGCCUGUCCAAACAUCAGCAUCGAUCCCCAAAAACUCCCUGCCUGCCCAAAGCAGCCGGGACCAGUCCGGGUUUCCUGCGCAUUUUCCGGAGAGCUGCCAUGGACCUGUUGAAGGUUUGCUGGGAACAGGGAACACAAAGGGAUCACUCAGCUCAGCUCAGCUCUCAGAGAACACUCCUCACCUGUAAAAGCUUCUUUCCUGAAAAAUAAAAACUAAAUUCCUUCCCAAA